RNAcentral lists this ribosomal RNA (1232 nucleotides) under Bacillus cereus IS195. Its description in RNAcentral is "bacterial LSU rRNA". It matches the Rfam family "Bacterial large subunit ribosomal RNA", at positions 1682 to 2925 of the family's 2925-position model. The record is from RNAcentral. Lineage: Bacteria; Bacillati; Bacillota; Bacilli; Caryophanales; Bacillaceae.
UAAGGUGUGCGAGAGAACUCUGGUUAAGGAACUCGGCAAAAUGACCCCGUAACUUCGGGAGAAGGGGUGCUUUCUUAACGGAAAGCCGCAGUGAAUAGGCCCAAGCGACUGUUUAGCAAAAACACAGCUCUCUGCGAAGCCGUAAGGCGAAGUAUAGGGGGUGACACCUGCCCGGUGCUGGAAGGUUAAGGAGAGGGGUUAGCGUAAGCGAAGCUCUGAACUGAAGCCCCAGUAAACGGCGGCCGUAACUAUAACGGUCCUAAGGUAGCGAAAUUCCUUGUCGGGUAAGUUCCGACCCGCACGAAAGGUGUAACGAUUUGGGCACUGUCUCAACCAGAGACUCGGUGAAAUUAUAGUACCUGUGAAGAUGCAGGUUACCCGCGACAGGACGGAAAGACCCCGUGGAGCUUUACUGUAGCCUGAUAUUGAAUUUUGGUACAGUUUGUACAGGAUAGGCGGGAGCCUUUGAAACCGGAGCGCUAGCUUCGGUGGAGGCGCUGGUGGGAUACCGCCCUGACUGUAUUGAAAUUCUAACCUACGGGUCUUAUCGACCCGGGAGACAGUGUCAGGUGGGCAGUUUGACUGGGGCGGUCGCCUCCUAAAAUGUAACGGAGGCGCCCAAAGGUUCCCUCAGAAUGGUUGGAAAUCAUUCGUAGAGUGCAAAGGCAUAAGGGAGCUUGACUGCGAGACCUACAAGUCGAGCAGGGACGAAAGUCGGGCUUAGUGAUCCGGUGGUUCCGCAUGGAAGGGCCAUCGCUCAACGGAUAAAAGCUACCCCGGGGAUAACAGGCUUAUCUCCCCCAAGAGUCCACAUCGACGGGGAGGUUUGGCACCUCGAUGUCGGCUCAUCGCAUCCUGGGGCUGUAGUCGGUCCCAAGGGUUGGGCUGUUCGCCCAUUAAAGCGGUACGCGAGCUGGGUUCAGAACGUCGUGAGACAGUUCGGUCCCUAUCCGUCGUGGGCGUAGGAAAUUUGAGAGGAGCUGUCCUUAGUACGAGAGGACCGGGAUGGACGCACCGCUGGUGUACCAGUUGUUCUGCCAAGGGCAUAGCUGGGUAGCUAUGUGCGGAAGGGAUAAGUGCUGAAAGCAUCUAAGCAUGAAGCCCCCCUCAAGAUGAGAUUUCCCAUAGCGUAAGCUAGUAAGAUCCCUGAAAGAUGAUCAGGUUGAUAGGUUCGAGGUGGAAGCAUGGUGACAUGUGGAGCUGACGAAUACUAAUAGAUCGAGGACUUAACC